AACGAACGCUGGCGGCGCGUCUUAAGCAUGCAAGUCGAACGGCAAGAGAAGAGCUUGCUCUUCUCCUAGAGUGGCGGACUGGUGAGUAACACGUGGGUGAUCUACCCUUGAGAUGGGGAUAGCUUUUAGAAAUAAGAGAUAAUACCGAAUACACUUACGAUGUUUUGACAUUGUAAGAAAAGGAGCGUUUGCUCCGCUUAAAGAUGAGCCUGCGUCCCAUUAGCUAGUUGGUGAGGUAAAGGCCCACCAAGGCAAUGAUGGGUAUCCGGCCUGAGAGGGUGACCGACACAUUGGGACUGAGAUACGGCCCAAACUCCUACGGGAGGCAGCAGCUGAGAAUCUUCCGCAAUGGACGAAAGUCUGACGGAGCGACACCGCGUGAAUGAUGAAGGCCGAAAGGUUGUAAAAUUCUUUUGCAGACAAAGAAUAAGGAUAGUAGGAAAUAACUGUCUGAUGACGGUGGUUAUGCGAAUAAGCCCCGGCUAAUUACGUGC
RNAcentral lists this ribosomal RNA (494 nucleotides) under Treponema sp. III:12:335. RNAcentral describes it as "bacterial SSU rRNA". It matches the Rfam family "Bacterial small subunit ribosomal RNA", at positions 29 to 508 of the family's 1533-position model. The record is from RNAcentral. Lineage: Bacteria; Pseudomonadati; Spirochaetota; Spirochaetia; Treponematales; Treponemataceae.